RNAcentral lists this long non-coding RNA (2941 nucleotides) under Olea europaea subsp. europaea. Lineage: Eukaryota; Viridiplantae; Streptophyta; Magnoliopsida; Lamiales; Oleaceae. The record is from RNAcentral.
UUUCCCUCUCAUUUUCAUUUCCAAAUAAGUUCUAUUUUCCUUAAAAAAUAUCUUCAUUGACUUUCAUCGAAACUUUUGGGAGAUCAGAUUCAGAGAGAGAAAACGGAAAUUGUGGAGUUUAGAGAGAGAAAGUAGGAAAUGUGGAGAGAGUCUGUUAGGGUUUCUGGAAAUGGACUACCCUGAAUCUACCAUACCCUCCGCAGGGGACGCUACUGAAACUGUUCCCGUCCAAGUACAAGAACGGAACUCUAUACCUUUUCUAUAAAUAAAAUAUGUAAAAUUGGGGAAUUUUAUACCUUUUUUUUUCAUACGAUUUCGUUUGGGUUAAUUAAUUUUUUUUUAUGAAAUUUACACACAUGGACACAAAAUGUAUGCCAUUUAGAUGUGUAAAUUUAUAGCAUUUUUUUAGUUUUUACUUGACUUUAUGUGCAUAAAUUAAUUUUAAGCUGAUUUGCACUAUUUUGGUAAUGGGGUGAGGAUUUUAGUUGAAUUUUUAGAUGGGUAUUGUAAUUUUAUAUCUGUGUAAUGUGUUUUCCCUUUUGGUAAAUUUAGAUACUAUGUGGCACUGUACUCGGUCUCAUAUCAUUUAAUUUUUCGUUCUCCCAAGAAAUGCAUCUGGUUCAUGUUUUUGACAGUUAACUUAAACCAAUCUGCUCUAGCAUCUUAUCAUACUCUACUCAUCUAUACAGAAGCACAUAUGUUGCAUGGACCAUUCAUCGAUGCUUUGAAUUGUGAAGUAAGAUUAUCCUGUUAAAACAAUCUGUAAAAUUGAUGCCAAAUGUAAUUUGAAGCAUAAUUCUCUUAGGCAUUAUUUAAUCUUUGUGAACAAUGGUUUAAACUAUAUUGUUUGUUAUCGAUUUCUAUUAGAAGUGCUUAAUUUGAUUUGGAUUUUUUUUUUUUUUAAAGAAAAAGAAAUUCAACAUGUUGCAUCAAUUGUGCUGAGCUUUAGGUAGUUCGGAUUUUGACUUUCUUCAAUUUUGGUGCCAUAUGACACAUGCUAAAAAUGAUAGAAGGUACUCUGUUUAUUGAUGUCGAUAACAUUUUGGUCGCAGUCAUACAUGUCAAUGGAUCUUAAGAGCAUAUGUCAUAGUUAUAUGAUAAUAAACCAAUAUUUAGAGAGGAUGCACAUGUAUCUCCAAUUUAUAUGGAUAGAGAAGUUUGUUGAAUUAUAACCUUUAGCACUCACAUUAAUUGAAAAAAUUAUAAGCAUUUUUGCACAUAUAAAUCACAUACUAAGUUCUAGUAGAUUUUAUUUAAAUGGCAAGUAUAGAAAAUAAUUUUUGCUUGGAUUCUAGUGAAACAAUAUCUUGGAGUGAAGAAAGUAAUUUUUGCUUGGGUUCUAGGGAAACAAUAUCUUGGAAUUUUGAAAAUUGCUCUUUGUUAAAUCAGGUAUUAAACAUUACUAGAAAUUUUAACUCACAAGGUUUGUACAAAUUUAUUAGGCUGCUCAACACCAUGGCUUGCAUGUACGUAGUCUCCAGUUUGAAGAUGCUCAGCAGAAAGUAGUAACAAAUAGGCAUGUACAAAACACUUCAGGUAUUGAAAAUAGUUCUAGGCCACUUGCCUCUUCUGCAGAUAGAGGGGGCCCCAAAUCACUAUCCUUGGAGACACCAUCAACUCCCAUUCGUCGGGUUGGUAUGACCCAGCAUACGGAUUAUCCUGGAAAUAGUGGGAAUUAUAGCAUAAAUUUUCCAAAGCCCGUAGGUAUUGGCUUGCACCUAAAUAGCAUUGUCAGCACUACGCAAGCAGGAACUGGAGAAACUGUAAUUGUGAAAUCAUCUGAAAAGGGUAUUUUAAGUAUACGGAAUGAGCAACAAGUGACUACUCUGAGCUCUCAUCUAUCUGAAAACUCAAAGAACUCUUCAUAUUUGUCUGUGUUGGAGAGUGUUCUCGGAAGUCCUGAUGAAAGUAGGCGUGAAAGUGAUCAUGCCUUGGUGGCAGCUAAUUCUGCUAUUUCUGUGUCCACUUAUGACGCAAAACCUUUGGACAACCCUAUGGUCUGUAAUCCAAUUGAGGAUCAAUCAACUCCAGUUAACAAGAGGAAGUCUAACGCUGGAAAUGCUGAUGAUGCAGAGGAGUUUAACAAGUCAAGCCCCAAAAGGAAGAGGCAAGCCUACAACUUAUCUUAUGAAUAAUGAGUUUUAUUAGUUGUCUCCAUUUUUACUACAUUAUUUUAGCUGCAAUUUUUCCAGGAAGAAAACACCCGAGUCCAAUGAUGAUUACAGUAGCAAACUUUGCAACUGCAAGAAGUCUAAAUGCUUGAAGCUGUAAGCGCAUAAAAUGUUUUCUUACAAAUUUAGAUUUACACUUCUAUCACGUGCUUUUGUAAUUUGUUUCCUUGUAGUUACUGUGAUUGCUUUGCUGCUGGAAUAUAUUGUGCGGAACCUUGUUCUUGCCAAGGGUGCUAUAACAGGCCUGAAUAUGAGGAUACGGUUCUAGAGACACGCCAACAAAUUGAAUCUCGCAAUCCUCUGGCAUUUGCUCCAAAGAUAGUACAGAACUUCAUUUAUCCAUCUUCAAGCAUUUGUGGGGUAUUGAGGCAUCGAAAUUUAUAAUUUUGCUGUACAACAGUGCAAUGUUAACUGAAUUAUUAAGUUGAAAUGUUCACAGGAAGAUGAGACUCAGUUAUCAAAGCCCUCCAUAAGGCACAAAAGAGGGUGCAAUUGCAAGAAGUCGAUGUGCCUCAAAAAGUACUGUGAGUGCUAUCAGGUACGUGGGUGUGCUUAUGGGCAUGAUUAUCUACGUUGUUUUUUCGUGGGGUUGGGGCUUAGAACCUCUGAGUCAUGCUAAGUACUACUUAAUUGCAUUUGCUCUUAUAAAAUGAGUUUUUUUACCUUAUGAUAGGCAAAAGUUGGUUGUUCUGAUGGAUGUCGAUGCGAAGGAUGUAAAAAUGACUAUGGCCAAAAGGGAGGUAUGAUUUGCAUUUGAAGUUCUGUUAUCA